GGUAGCACAGAGAGCUUGCUCUCGGGUGACGAGCGGCGGACGGGUGAGUAAUGUCUGGGAAACUGCCUGAUGGAGGGGGAUAACUACUGGAAACGGUAGCUAAUACCGCAUAACGUCGCAAGACCAAAGUGGGGGACCUUCGGGCCUCAUGCCAUCAGAUGUGCCCAGAUGGGAUUAGCUAGUAGGUGGGGUAACGGCUCACCUAGGCGACGAUCCCUAGCUGGUCUGAGAGGAUGACCAGCCACACUGGAACUGAGACACGGUCCAGACUCCUACAGGAGGCAGCAGUGGGGAAUAUUGCACAAUGGGCGCAAGCCUGAUGCAGCCAUGCCGCGUGUGUGAAGAAGGCCUUCGGGUUGUAAAGCACUUUCAGCGGGGAGGAAGGCGGAUGAGGUUAAUAACCUCGUCGAUUGACGUUACCCGCAGAAGAAGCACCGGCUAACUCCGUGCCAGCAGCCGCGGUAAUACGGAGGGUGCAAGCGUUAAUCGGAAUUACUGGGCGUAAAGCGCACGCAGGCGGUCUGUCAAGUCGGAUGUGAAAUCCCCCGGCUCACCCUGGGAACUGC
RNAcentral lists this ribosomal RNA (566 nucleotides) under Klebsiella pneumoniae. Its description in RNAcentral is "bacterial SSU rRNA". It matches the Rfam family "Bacterial small subunit ribosomal RNA", at positions 68 to 624 of the family's 1533-position model. The record is from RNAcentral. Lineage: Bacteria; Pseudomonadati; Pseudomonadota; Gammaproteobacteria; Enterobacterales; Enterobacteriaceae.